Molecule: transfer RNA, 85 nt
Filed under: Lysobacteraceae bacterium
Lineage: Bacteria; Pseudomonadati; Pseudomonadota; Gammaproteobacteria; Lysobacterales; Lysobacteraceae
Also listed under: 1 other name
Description: Xanthomonadaceae bacterium tRNA-Leu
Rfam family: tRNA
About the family: Transfer RNA (tRNA) molecules are approximately 80 nucleotides in length. Their secondary structure includes four short double-helical elements and three loops (D, anti-codon, and T loops). Further hydrogen bonds mediate the characteristic L-shaped molecular structure. tRNAs have two regions of fundamental functional importance: the anti-codon, which is responsible for specific mRNA codon recognition, and the 3' end, to which the tRNAs corresponding amino acid is attached (by aminoacyl-tRNA synthetases). tRNAs cope with the degeneracy of the genetic code in two manners: having more than one tRNA (with a specific anti-codon) for a particular amino acid; and 'wobble' base-pairing, i.e. permitting non-standard base-pairing at the 3rd anti-codon position.
Source: RNAcentral
GCGGGCAUGGCGAAAUUGGUAGCCGCAGCAGACUUAAAAUCUGCCGACGCAAGUCUUGCCGGUUCGAUUCCGGCUGCCCGCACCA